GGCCCUGCCGGAGAGGUGGCCGUGCAGGUACUCGAUUCCCAGACGCCUUCGCGCGCCCCUUGGCCAUUUCGGCCUGGGCGCCAUGGGCCGCAGUGAGAGCAGCUGAGGAGCCCCCGUGCGGAAAAAGUUGUGCUGACAGAUCUGGGUUUGCAGGAUAUGAAGAGCACUCAGGUCGGACGCCUUCCUUUACUGCCACACAGGGUCUUUGGAGCAAGUGACCCAGUACCUCUCCUAGCUGGAGAAAGGGCUCAGGAUUCCUCCCGAUAGAGAUCUCUGUGAGGAUGUCAAAGAGGAAAUCAGGACUAUCGCCUCACUGGGUUUGGGGCAUGGAAUUGAGAAUGAGUUUACCCAGAAGGAAACUCUUGAGGAAUUGGAAUUCAGAGGAGCGGUACUGGAACGCGCCAUCGGAAACAUUCUUCAGGGUUCGGAAUCAGCGGACACCUACGGGUCAGAAGAACAGUGGAAAAUCUCUCCAGAGGAGUUGCAGAGAGAGCCCUCUCGGGGGGUGACCGAUCCUGGAGAAUUCACAGGGAUAACUGCCCUCAUCAAGAAACCACCUUUAGCAGAAAAUCCCCAUGAAUGUAUUGAAUGGGGGAAGCGCUUCAGGUAGAAGUCAUAUCUAAAGUAUCACCAGAGAGCCCACACGGGAGAGAAGCCAUUUUUAUGUAACGAAUAUGGGAAAAGCUUCAACCGAAAUUCAUCACUUAAAAACCACCGGCUAAUCCACACCAGGGAGAGCCCCUAUACACAUGAUGAGUGUGGAAGAAGCUUUAAAACAAGCUCAGGACUCCAGAAACAUCAGAUCACCCACACAGAAGAGAAAUCUUGUCAUUGCAGCAGAUGUGGGACACGGUUCAAGUCCAGAGCUCAUCUUGCCGGUCAUCGGAUGAUCUACACGGGAGAGAAGCCUCCCAGGUGCGACUGUGGGAAAAGUUUUAAUCGUUACUCAAGCUUCAUCCGACACCAGAGAUUCCAUUCAGGAGAGAAGCCCUACGAAUGUCAGGAAUGCGGAAAGAGCUUCAGUCUCAACUCAAAUCUUAUUCAACAUCAGAAAACCCAGAGGAGAGAAGCCGUAUAAAUGUAAUAAGUGUGACGAUCGCUUCAGCCGGAGCUCAGACCUUAUUGGGCAUCAGAAAAGCCAUACAGGAGAGAAGUGACUGCUGACUCUAGAACCAGUUAGGAGGAUGGACCUGUAAGAAUGGGGGGGUGUGGGGGUGUGGGUGACACGCACAUAUAUAAUGGUUGAGAUUGCUGAACUCUGUGGUAUUUGACCCUUUUUUCUUAAUAUCAUGAUAUUCCAGAAGUCUUUUCAGGAGAAGGACCACCUCUUCUCUGAUUGCCACUAUAUAAAAUGGUUGCUUUGCUCCAUUUCAGUUCACUCUGCAGCAGCCACUCGGGUAUCCUGUGAUUACCCAUUCUCCUUCAAGAUCUGCCUAGGGAUAUCAAAUUGAGACGGUUAUUGUUUUGACGGUGGAAGAAAUUGCAAUCCAAGACCUAACUGUGGGAUCCUGACCUGUCAUGUGCUGUUUGACACUUCAGUGUAACGGGUGAAAGUCCUCUGGAAGAUGGAUGUGACAUCUUAGGGAGGCUGAAGUAUCACAGCCUUUUAGAAGGUUGGACACUUCUGCAGAUCUCCAGUUUAGUCUGGAUCUCAAUGCCACACUUUUGGUCUCCCAGAGAGUCUUCUACUUGUAGAUUAAAUGUACUAUCGGAAAAGGCCAUGCCUGGGUAGCAGAAACCAAUGACAAACUGGGUGUCCUCCCAGACAUGAGAAAUUUGAAAUUUUUCCUUUAAGAUACUGAAGUCUAAUAUUCCCAUUUUCCCUUUAUAAAUAGGGGAGUUCACUAAAAAGUAGGAAUAAGUACGUGUUCUCACAUUCUACUAGUUACCAAGGCCAGUGAUGAUGGAAAAUGCUUUCCUUUCUGGUAGAGAUCUAGGAAUUGGAAUUUAAUGCUGAAAGCAAACAUUCAAAAUCUUGUGUUUUCUUUUAGUAGUUCUGGGUUGGGCAUUGUCUCAUUCAAGCUAAAUGUAUUCUCCCCACCAGGAGUAGGUAUUUUCCAGUGAGAGCAAUAAAACUUAACCAGGUUGAGUUCAUAA
Molecule: long non-coding RNA, 2097 nt
Organism: Ornithorhynchus anatinus (platypus)
Lineage: Eukaryota; Metazoa; Chordata; Mammalia; Monotremata; Ornithorhynchidae
Exons: 4
Source: RefSeq, a predicted model, not a curated record